UCAGGAUGAACGCUAGCUACAGGCUUAACACAUGCAAGUCGAGGGGCAGCAUUGGGAUAGCUGCUAUUCAGAUGGCGACCGGCGCACGGUGAGUAACGCGUAUCCAACCUUCCUGCCAGUAGGGAACAGCCCGGCGAAAGUCGGAUUAAUGCCCUAUGUUCUUCAAUGCGGACAUCUAAGUUGAAGGAAAGAUUCAUCGCUGGCAGAUGGGGAUGCGUCCGAUUAGCUUGCCGGCGGGGUAACGGCCCACCGGGGCGACGAUCGGUAGGGGUUCUGAGAGGAAGGUCCCCCACACUGGUACUGAGACACGGACCAGACUCCUACGGGAGGCAGCAGUGAGGAAUAUUGGUCAAUGGGCGUAAGCCUGAACCAGCCAAGUAGCGUGCAGGAAUGACGGCCCUACGGGUUGUAAACUGCUUUUAUGCGGGGAUGAAGUGCGGCACGUGUGCCGCUUUGCAGGUACCGCAUGAAUAAGGACCGGCUAAUUCCGUGCCAGCCGCCGC
RNAcentral lists this ribosomal RNA (503 nucleotides) under uncultured bacterium. Its description in RNAcentral is "bacterial SSU rRNA". It matches the Rfam family "Bacterial small subunit ribosomal RNA", at positions 24 to 518 of the family's 1533-position model. The record is from RNAcentral.